GCGGCGGGUGGAACUUUUGGCUGCCCGCCGGCGACCGCCCGCGCAGUGCCUCCUCUCCCGCUGCCCCUUCCUCUUUUCUUUCUUCUUGCGCCGGCGUCGACUUCGGCCGGAGGCCGCUCGCUGGCGCCUCUUGUUUUCCACCGGCAACUCUCGCCGCCGGAGUCCAAGGAAGCUCUUCUCGUGGCGGCGGCCUUGGCCUCUUGCCUCUUGGUCAAGUGGUCAACGGCAACGCCCUUUUCCCGGCGUGGACCCUCCUUGACGGCGACCGACGGCGCCGAGGUGACGGCAACCGGCAGCAGCCGCAGGCACCACACGGGUAAGAUGUUCUUUUCUCUUUUAGGUUAGGGUUUGCCUCGUUUUGAUUUCUUUCUUUUUCUUCUUUCUUUUUCUACCCGACCGGAUCUACACGCCCAACUUGCUCUGAUACCAUUGUUAGGGUCCUAGAAACAUCUAUGUGCAAAUCUAGUCCGGUAGGAAACUCUUUCUGUGAUUCAUAUUGGGAUUCGGGAUUGAGAGAGAGAGGAAGAGGGAGGUACCUUCUCCUUGGCUAGACGAGGACGCCGGCGCGGACGACAUGGUCGACGGCGAGGGAGCGACAGCGACGGGGAUCGACGGUGGCGGGAGGCAGAGCUUCCCGUUACUCUUGCGCGGAACCCUAGAUCGGUAGGGGUUUGUUAGGUGGGGUGUGCGGCACAGCGACGAACCUUGUAUUGCGUGCCGCCAGCCCCCACCUCUUUAUAUUGCGCAGUGUAACAGGGGCCCGCCAAACAUAAUGGGUUGGGCGUCCCCGAUCAGGGCGCCGUGGAUCUAAUGGCCCGGUGGGCCCACACGGGUGG
This 836-nucleotide long non-coding RNA is filed under the name Brachypodium distachyon (stiff brome). RNAcentral's name for it is "long non-coding RNA (BDIS_LNC002732)". Lineage: Eukaryota; Viridiplantae; Streptophyta; Magnoliopsida; Poales; Poaceae. The record is from RNAcentral.